This 422-nucleotide ribosomal RNA is filed under the name uncultured bacterium. RNAcentral describes it as "bacterial SSU rRNA". It matches the Rfam family "Bacterial small subunit ribosomal RNA", at positions 355 to 774 of the family's 1533-position model. The record is from RNAcentral.
UGAGGAAUAUUGGGCGAUGCCCGCAAGGGUGACCCAGCAACGCCGCGUGGAGGAUGAAUGUCGUAAGAUUGUAAACUCCUGUUAGAGGGGAAGAAUAGUACCGGUUGGACCGGUAUAUGACUGUACCCUCAGAGAAAGCCCCGGCUAGCUACGUGCCAGCAGCCGCGGUAAUACGUAGGGGGCAAGCGUUGUCCGGAUUUACUGGGUGUAAAGGGCGCGCAGGCGGGAUAAAAAGUCAGUGGUGAAAUCCUACAGCUUAACUGUAGAACUGCCUUUGAUACUUUUAUUCUUGAGUUCGGGAGAGAGAGACGGAAUUCCAGGUGUAGUGGUGAAAUACGUAGAUAUCUGGAAGAACACCAGUUGCGAAGGCGGUCUCUUGGUCCGACACUGACGCUGAGGCGCGAAAGCGUGGGGAGCAAACA